This 71-nucleotide transfer RNA is filed under the name Ormenophlebia imperatrix. Its description in RNAcentral is "tRNA-Val". Lineage: Eukaryota; Metazoa; Arthropoda; Insecta; Odonata; Calopterygidae. The record is from RNAcentral.
AGUUAAUAGUUCUUUUAGGGAAUUUUCCAUUUACACUGGAAAGGUUCUUGUGCAAAUCAGGAUUAAUUGAU